RNAcentral lists this ribosomal RNA (429 nucleotides) under Acidobacteriota bacterium. RNAcentral's name for it is "Acidobacteria bacterium partial 16S ribosomal RNA". It matches the Rfam family "Bacterial small subunit ribosomal RNA", at positions 355 to 776 of the family's 1533-position model. Lineage: Bacteria; Pseudomonadati; Acidobacteriota. The record is from RNAcentral.
UGGGGAAUUUUGGACAAUGGGGGAAACCCUGAUCCAGCCAUCCCGCGUGUGCGAUGAAGGCCUUCGGGUUGUAAAGCACUUUUGGUAGGAAAGAAACGUCAUGGGUUAAUACCCCGUGAAACUGACGGUACCUGCAGAAUAAGCACCGGCUAACUACGUGCCAGCAGCCGCGGUAAUACGUAGGGUGCAAGCGUUAAUCGGAAUUACUGGGCGUAAAGCGUGCGCAGGCGGUUCGGAAAGAAAGAUGUGAAAUCACAGAGCUCAACUUUGGAACUGCAUUAUUAACUACCGGGCUAGAGUAUGUCAGAGGGAGGUGGAAUUCCGCGUGUAGGAGUGAAAUGCGUAGAUAUGCGGAGGAACACCGGUGGCGAAGGCAGCCUCCUGGGAUAACACUGACGCUCAUGCACGAAAGCGUGGGGAGCAAACAGG